GCAGUACAACCCACUAUGGAGCUUUUGCUUUCUAACAUGAUAAACACUUACCUUACUGAUAUCAAACUAUCUAUUACUUACAAAAUAUCUAAACUUCAAACUUAGGUAGUGGGAAAAGGGUGAAGGGAAACUUUAGAUCAAUAAUCCAACAUCUUUGUGUAUAUUAAUUUCUUUCGUUGUUUGAUUACUUGUUCUCACUGC
RNAcentral lists this long non-coding RNA (201 nucleotides) under Vigna radiata. Its description in RNAcentral is "long non-coding RNA (VRAD_LNC002985)". The record is from RNAcentral. Lineage: Eukaryota; Viridiplantae; Streptophyta; Magnoliopsida; Fabales; Fabaceae.